GGGGUGGUAGCUCAGUUGGUUAGAGCAGGAAUGUUCCAUCACUCUUGUCGUGGCCGUCGUCGGUCCUGUUGUGUGCGUUGCAGGGAAGCGCUGGACCCGGCGGGCAAUGGGGCCCGCCGGGCUGAAAGAGACGCAAAAUGUUCAGUUGACGGAGGUGGUGCUCGCCGCCUCCAUGUUUCGCCGCUGGCGUCCACGAAUGCCGAUGGAACUACAGCCUUUGAAGCUCCAGGUCGCGGGUUCGAGUCCCGCCCACCCUU
This 257-nucleotide transfer RNA is filed under the name Xanthomonas sp. 3498. RNAcentral's name for it is "tRNA-OTHER". Lineage: Bacteria; Pseudomonadati; Pseudomonadota; Gammaproteobacteria; Lysobacterales; Lysobacteraceae. The record is from RNAcentral.